RNAcentral lists this ribosomal RNA (1311 nucleotides) under uncultured bacterium. Its description in RNAcentral is "bacterial SSU rRNA". It matches the Rfam family "Bacterial small subunit ribosomal RNA", at positions 39 to 1383 of the family's 1533-position model. The record is from RNAcentral.
GCGGCGUGCAUAACACAUUCAAGUCGAACGAGGUAGCAAUACCUAGUGGCGGACGGGUGAGUAACGCGUGAGCAACCUGCCCUUGUGUGGGGGAUACCGUCUGGAAACGGACGUUAAUACCGCAUAACGUUAUGGAAUCGCAUGGUUCUGUGACCAAAGAUUUAUUGCGCAAGGAUGGGCUCGCGUCCGAUUAGAUAGUUGGUGAGGUAACGGCCCACCAAGUCUACGAUCGGUAGCCGGACUGAGAGGUUGAACGGCCACAUUGGAACUGAGAUACGGUCCAGACUCCUACGGGAGGCAGCAGUGGGGAAUAUUGGGCAAUGGGCGAAAGCCUGACCCAGCGACGCCGCGUGAAGGAAGAAGGUCUUCGGAUUGUAAACUUCUUUUAUUAGGGACGAAAACUGACGGUACCUAAUGAAUAAGCCACGGCUAACUACGUGCCAGCAGCCGCGGUAAUACGUAGGUGGCAAGCGUUAUCCGGAUUUACUGGGUGUAAAGGGUGUGUAGGCGGGAUGGCAGUUCAGGAUGUGAAAACUAUGGGCUCAACUCAUAGCCUGCAUUUGAAACUGUCGUUCUUGAGGGUCGGAGAGGUAACUGGAAUUCCGUGUGUAGCGGUGAAAUGCGUAGAUAUACGGAGGAACACCAGUGGCGAAGGCGGGUUACUGGACGAUACCUGACGCUGAGACACGAAAGUGUGGGGAGCAAACAGGAUUAGAUACCCUGGUAGUCCACGCUGUAAACGAUGAAUACUAGGUGUGGGGAUCGUAGGAUUUCCGUGCCGCAGUUAACACAAUAAGUAUUCCACCUGGGGAGUACGGCCGCAAGGUUGAAACUCAAAGGAAUUGACGGGAGCCCGCACAAGCAGUGGAGUAUGUGGUUUAAUUCGACGCAACGCGAAGAACCUUACCGGAGCUUGACAUCCUGGGAAAGCCGAGUAAUGUUGGCUGUGCCCUUCGGGGAACCCAGAGACAGGUGGUGCAUGGUUGUCGUCAGCUCGUGUCGUGAGAUGUUGGGUUAAGUCCCGCAACGAGCGCAACCCUUAUGUUUAGUUGCUACGCAAGAGCACUCUAGACAGACUGCCGUUGACAAAACGGAGGAAGGUGGGGACGACGUCAAAUCAUCAUGCCCCUUACGCCCCGGGCUACACACGUACUACAAUGGUGAGAACAAAGAGAAGCGAGACCGCGAGGUGGAGCUAACCUCAUAAAAAUCAUCCCAGUUCGGACUGCAGGCUGCAACCCGCCUGCACGAAGUUGGAAUUGCUAGUAAUCGCGAAUCAGCAUGUCGCGGUGAAUACGUUCCCGGGCUUUG